This 275-nucleotide ribosomal RNA is filed under the name uncultured Bacillus sp. Its description in RNAcentral is "partial 16S ribosomal RNA". It matches the Rfam family "Bacterial small subunit ribosomal RNA", at positions 338 to 605 of the family's 1533-position model. The record is from RNAcentral. Lineage: Bacteria; Bacillati; Bacillota; Bacilli; Caryophanales; Bacillaceae.
CCUACGGGGGGCUGCAGUAGGGAAUCUUCCACAAUGGGCGAAAGCCUGAUGGAGCAACGCCGCGUGAGUGAAGAAGGAUUUCGGUUCGUAAAACUCUGUUGUAAGGGAAGAACAAGUACAGUAGUAACUGGCUGUACCUUGACGGUACCUUAUUAGAAAGCCACGGCUAACUACGUGCCAGCAGCCGCGGUAAUACGUAGGUGGCAAGCGUUGUCCGGAAUUAUUGGGCGUAAAGCGCGCGCAGGUGGUUUCUUAAGUCUGAUGUGAAAGCCCAC